GUUGUUCACAACAUCAUACGAGUAAGUGUGUUUAACUGUUUAUGCGCGCGAUGUUCUGUGCAAAGAAUCUGAAAUUAGAAUUUCAUCAGUUAUCAGUCUAUAAACAUUGUUUUUAGUGUUGCGAAAAAGAUAACGUUGAAUUGAUUCGUUUAUUGGGUGCAUUUAACGCGGGUACCAGAACCAGAUCAAACAAAAGAAUCAUUCUAAAAGCAGAUUAUAGCAGAACUUACUUACUGGAUCAGAGAUAUUAAACGAAUGACUUACACUUUAUAGAUAAUGGCUCCCACAAUAACUGCGAGUACAUUAGACUUGGAGAAUUUAACAAUCGCAUGGGCUGUUACAGUCUUGAUAUUUUUCGUGUGUUUCGCUUAUUUCGGUUUGAAAUUGUGCAUCAGCAUUGGAACAAGAUGUGACGACGAUGAAGAUGAAUUAGGAAACGAGGAAGACAAAGCACCAUUGAGAGAAAACGAAUUCUGCGAAAAAUUUAAUCCACCUAUGACUCAUUUUCAGCACUUGAAUCAUAUGGAAGUUACACCUCUAACUGCAGACUGUUCUAGUGUUAAUUAAGUUCCUUCGUCUAGUUUAAUGGCUGUAUGAAGUGGUAUUCCCAUUGUUACUAAUUCAAAUAUACUAAAUAACAAUUAUUGAGUUCAA
Long non-coding RNA from Planococcus citri (citrus mealybug), 654 nucleotides. RefSeq lists it as uncharacterized. NCBI's taxonomy places the organism in Eukaryota, Metazoa, Arthropoda, Insecta, Hemiptera, Pseudococcidae. The transcript has 3 exons. The record is from RefSeq and is a predicted model, not a curated record.